Molecule: small nuclear RNA, 106 nt
Organism: Mesoplodon densirostris (Blainville's beaked whale)
Lineage: Eukaryota; Metazoa; Chordata; Mammalia; Artiodactyla; Ziphiidae
Source: RefSeq, a predicted model, not a curated record
GUGCUCUCUUCAGCAGCACAUGUACUAAAUUGGAACCAUACAGGGAAGAUUACCAUGGCCCCUGUGCAAGGAUGACAGGCAAAUUCGUGUAGCGUUCCAUAUUUUU